Molecule: long non-coding RNA, 637 nt
Filed under: Salmo salar (Atlantic salmon)
Lineage: Eukaryota; Metazoa; Chordata; Actinopteri; Salmoniformes; Salmonidae
Description: lncRNA (ENSSSAG00000099574.1, ENSSSAG00000118578.1)
Source: RNAcentral
CAAAGACCUUCCUGUGCAUUUGUAAACAGCUGUUCCAUUGUGGCUGUAAACAGCUAGCUAGCUAAGCUAACUUAGUGUAGUUGUUUUUUUUACCAUUGUAUUCGUCGGUGGGAUGGUCCUUACUUCUGGGGGAAAUAAAAGUUUAUAGCUAGAUUUCCCAAAGAAUCAUUGCAGCGGGCUACAUUGCCUGCAUGGAUAGUAACGUUAGCAGCAGCAGGAGGUGGCGGCACCAGGAUGAUGUGUAGCACACGGAUACAGAGACCUGUGAAAGCUGAUAAACCCCGUCUGUGGAUGGUCCCAAAGAAAGUCCCAAGUUCUGGAGAGACUGAAGGAUGGUUUAGUGUCGCUGGGACUUGUGGAAAUCAGCAUGCAGCUAUGUUCCUGCAGCAAUGUCUUUGGUGUACCAGUCCAGCUCAAAUGUGUCAACAAAGAGGAAGAGGAAUUCCCAAGCAAGAUCGCAUGUGUCAAAUUAUAUAAUGAAGGCUGUUUUGAGAAAAGUGGCUGAAAAAAUAUAUAUACAUUUUCCACGUAGCAUAAAAACAACUUGCUAGCUGGCCUCCACCCACAUGGCUGGUUAGCUAGCACAACGGCUGUCUCAUGUCAUUUGAAUUGUAAUGCUAGCAACGACACAGCACAG